AUCCAGAUGACGAGUCCUAAAUAGGACGAAAUUUGUGUCAUCCUGGAU
Molecule: non-coding RNA, 48 nt
Filed under: Trichobilharzia regenti
Lineage: Eukaryota; Metazoa; Platyhelminthes; Trematoda; Strigeidida; Schistosomatidae
Source: RNAcentral